Molecule: long non-coding RNA, 452 nt
Filed under: Parus major (Great Tit)
Lineage: Eukaryota; Metazoa; Chordata; Aves; Passeriformes; Paridae
Description: lncRNA (ENSPMJG00000013827.1)
Source: RNAcentral
AAAACAGAAAACCACCCCUACCACCAGCGAAAUUGCUGUUGAGGAAGUUUUGUGUGAAGAGCAUGAAAUCCUUCUAUUGGCAAGCACUUGUUCCAAAGCUUCUGUUGCCUUCUGUUUUUACUGAAAAGUAGCAAAUAGACCUGAAGAGAGCUGGGGUCCUUGGUGGUCUUGAAAGAUGUUGACUUUACGUCUUCUCUUGCUAAGAAUGAGAUUUCUGCCAUUCUGGAUAGCAUUAUUAUUGCAAGCACAUGUGUCUGCAAUGGUUGCCAGCAUUCUUCUGCUGCUGCAGUGGGCUUAAACCAUAGCAAGGUUGAAAUCGUGGUCAGGAUCAGACGUCCCCCAUUAGACACAUAGCACCUGAAUGAACAUAGACCUAAGGUCAUAGCAAGGAUAUAAACUAGUUAUCUGACUCCCUAUCUACCCAGGCAAUAAAGAGAUAAGAAUUAAAAGAA